AAAACAAGAGUUCAACAACAAAAAGCCUAUACAAAUGCAUACACUUCUCUUGUACCCAAUUACACAUUUAAUAGCCGCAGAUAGUCAUCUAUUAUUGACAUCGCCGAUGAUCUAUAUCCAGAACCGAAAAGAUUAUAAUGGUUCAGGUAAUGAUACAACAUAUAAAGAUCUCUCCUUUUCUCAAACCCUAGUUGUUUUGGCAUCACCUCAAAAUAAGCAUUGUAGAAUGAUCCUCCAAAACCAGCACACCAUGACAUUCCAAAUUCUGCCUCACUAUGCCCAUAAUAACAUGCUGGGUCAAGGAUAACAGGCUCGCCAUUUUUGUCAGAGCUGAUAUUCCCACUCCAUAAGUCUCCAUGAAGCAAGCAUGGCUCUAUAACUAUGUUCUCAAACAAAGGUGCCAUGUUCUUAACAAGUCUUUGUCCUUUUUGGUAAAUGCUUGUAUCACCAUACUGAUCUAAUGCCAACUUUAGUUGGUAACCUAGUCUAUGCUCUCCAUAAAACUCAAUCCGUAUUUAUCUGAGGAGUGCUGCCAAUUGUAUUAUCAACAUCAAAUCCAAAGCCUUUUUCAGAUUUCCCAGCUUUAUGCAUUUCAGCGAGCUUCCUUCCUAGGACAGACUGAUUCCCUCUAAAUGCACCAAAUUCAAUAAAUUCCAUAAUGAUGUAAGAUCCUCCUGCUGGUAGGGGUCCAACCUUAAAUGGCUUAGGUACACGGAUUGUUCUGGUUUCAUACAUGGCUCCUAAGCCAAGAGCUUCCCCCUCAAACAUGGAUGGUCCAAUACUCCUAUUUGUUUUGACAAAGAAAGAACCAGCAUCAGUGUCGUAACGACUUGCAAGAUUGAUACAACCACCACCAAUAGAACUUAUCUUUGUAAUCUGAGUUGCCUUUCCUUCUGACAGAAUCCAUUCACGGAUUGGAUCCUCACUCAUGGCAGCAACGGAAGAUGAUUUGCGUUUGGUGAAGCGGAGUCGGAGGAGACGAGAACCAGGCAGACAAGGAAAGCAAGAAUUGAAAGAGAUAAUGCCCACGUGUAAUGCCACCAUUAU
RNAcentral lists this unclassified non-coding RNA (1047 nucleotides) under Hevea brasiliensis (rubber tree). The record is from RNAcentral. Lineage: Eukaryota; Viridiplantae; Streptophyta; Magnoliopsida; Malpighiales; Euphorbiaceae.